RNAcentral lists this long non-coding RNA (436 nucleotides) under Manihot esculenta (cassava). Its description in RNAcentral is "long non-coding RNA (MESC_LNC006525)". The record is from RNAcentral. Lineage: Eukaryota; Viridiplantae; Streptophyta; Magnoliopsida; Malpighiales; Euphorbiaceae.
UUCCUAAAACCGACAUGCUUGCUUAAAUGAAAUGAACUUCUAAAUAUUAAAAAUGUAAGUUUAGUAGGUCAAUCUAUGAAUAUUGAAAGUUUAAAAACUAAAUUGAAACAUGUGGAAAAGUUUAGUAGGUGAAAGUGUGAAUAUGGAAAAUUUAAAAGUAAAAUUCCAAGUUUGCCCUCCACCUUUUUCUAUAUUUACACCUAACCCACCAUUUGACACCUAGCCAUGCAUGACUAAGCAUGAAAUGGAAAGUUGUCUUCAUUUGGUCCAUCCUUGCCGUGGCUACACCAAAAGGAAAGAGAAAAAGGCUUUUGCUUUCUUAACUUUCAUCUCCACCAUAUUUCUCCAAAAAGACAAAGAUUUCACCCAUGCACAAUCUGUUCUUAGGUGUUCUAACCAGCAAAGGAACCAUAGAAAGAAAGGAAAGAAGAAGAGA